RNAcentral lists this long non-coding RNA (24727 nucleotides) under Citrus sinensis (sweet orange). RNAcentral's name for it is "long non-coding RNA (CSIN_LNC000654)". Lineage: Eukaryota; Viridiplantae; Streptophyta; Magnoliopsida; Sapindales; Rutaceae. The record is from RNAcentral.
AGAACUACUACGUACAAAAUAUCUUUAUCAUAAAAAAAUAUAAUAAUCAAAUAUUACUCCAUUUGACAGAGUUUUCUUAAAAAAAAAAAAAAGUGUUUAAAUAGUUUUUAAUGUAUUGCAUAGAUCAGCUGACACGCGGUUAUUUUAAAUUUAACUAAACUUUUUUGUUCGAGUCUUAUAAAUAUAGUUAUGUUAAAUAUUUAUUAGAAAAUUUUUAAUAUAUUUUAAUUGUACAGUAUAAAUAAAUUAAUUAAUUAAGCUUUAAUCUAUUUUAGUUUUAUAGUAUAAAUAAAUUAAUUAACUAAUUAGAGGUGCGGUUUUGAGCGGUUGUAACAAUAAUUAAAAAAGAAAACAAUGUGAAGCUAUAGAUAUAUAUAUGGCUAUUCAAUUUUCAGGAACAAAUUGACUUAAUGUUUGACCGCUUAGUUUUUAAACAAUUUUUUUUAAUCAAUCAUCUAAUUUAAAAUCUUAGAGAUGCAUGAACUUAAAAAUUAAUUUAAAUAUUAUCCAUUCUCUGCUGGGUCUUUAUAAAUAGAGAACAGACCGAAACACGUAAUCAUGGGCAUAUCCACUUGGCUAGAGAGGGCUUUAUAGAUUUUUCAAUUUUUUGUCAUUCUAAAAACAAAUAAAAGUUUUCAGCUACGAAUUGCUAUUAAUGUGUUAAAAAUAAAUAAAUGUGAUAUCAUUAUCGUUUAAUCUUAUUUAUUCCAUUGUAUUCAAAAAAAAAAUCUUAUUUAUUCCAUUAAUUUAUUUAUUUUUAUCUAUCGAAUUCUAACAUGCUGUAUGAGUUGAUGAAUUCAUUCAAUUUAUCAUUUAUUAUUUUAAUGUAGAGUGAAUAAAAAAUUUGUAUAUUUUAACAUCUCGUGACUUUGCACGCACGUGUUGGACAUUCAAGAGCUACACUGCUAGGGACCUACUGACCACUAAUUUGUUUUGAUGGUGAUUAACUUUCUGGUCAAAUCAGGCAGUUGUUCUGAUCAACGGCGGUCAAGAUUCCAUCUAUGAUCACAUUUCUAUUGGUCGCCUCUACUGAAUUAUUAUAACUUAAUUUUAAUGCAUGAUCAUGGAUUAGGGACAGAAAAAUGGCCAUAAUCAUAACAAUGUCCCCUUAACGGUUCAGAGGCAAUGUGGGAUAAUCAUCGCAGUCCAAUUCAUCUUCCAACCGUGGCCAUUGGAUAAUCCGCCUUCAAUUUGGAAAGUUGCCAAAAAUGAGUAAGGCUCCAGCCCCCUGCCCUAAAUAACAUUAUCGUGGGGCUCUCAUAUGGGAUCGAACACCUUUUCUUUUCUUUUCUUUUUUUUUUAAACAUAUAUUCGAUUUAAACCCAUAUCAAUAUAUUCUCUUAAAUUGAACAUUUUACCCCUACUGGCUACUGAUUAAAAAAAAAAAAGAUGUUAAAAAAGAAAAAUAAAAUUGUUAUGUUAGCCACAAAAUGGACAAAUAGUUUAAAGAGCAUUGAAUAAGAUUCUCUUAAAGCAGUGGACUUAAAAAAAAAAGGGCUNNNNNNNNNNNNNNNNNNNNNNNNNNNNNNNNNNNNNNNNNNNNNNNNNNNNNNNNNNNNNNNNNNNNNNNNNNNNNNNNNNNNNNNNNNNNNNNNNNNNNNNNNNNNNNNNNNNNNNNNNNNNNNNNNNNNGGGGGGGGGGGGGGGCGGUUAUAUUCUAUUACAGUACAGUUAGCAAAAGCAAAUAAUAAUAUUCUCCUUUAUUCCUUUGAAUAUCUAUGCAUCUGUUACGAUAGUUACAUUGUUCAUAAUGUGAAACAUAAUUUUAAAGAAUAAUGUUAAAGAAAUAAAACCAUGAUUAAAAAAAAAAGUCUUCUAGUCAAUUUAUGUAAUUUUCUAUAAUGAUUUUUCUUUUUUCUUUUUAAACAAAUUCCAAAAUUUACCGACCGACAAAAUUUUUUUGUCAUGGUUUCAUCUUGUUGCUCAAUUUGAAAAUUGUACUGAUCUAAACAAGUAUUGAACAUAAUUAUGAGUAAGCUUGUGAUAAGUUUAUAUUACUAUUUUUAUUUUGGAAAACUAACCGAAACAUUUUUUUUUUUGGGGAAGCUGUGUUAAUAAUUAAAUACUGAAAACUUGCAUAAAAGCACAAUAAAAUUAAAAAAGUUAUAUCCAGCAAAUAUUAUGAAUAAUUUUAUUUCAGAAUAUUCGCCUAAAUGAUAAGUCACUGAUAGUAAAAAUGGUGUAAUAAGUAAAGCAUUUGGGUGUGUGGUACAGCAUUAUGAAAGAACCAUAUUGUGAGAUUGACACGUAGAUGAUCGCUAAAUAAUUAAUGAUUAAUAAAUAAUGAAAGCAAAAUGCAAAUUUUAUAGUUGCAUUUAUGCAAGAGAAGCUCCUUGUAGUGAGCAACUGAGGGCGCUCCCAUCACCGAGAUAUCACGAGAAAUUGUAUGUUAUGAAAAAAUUGAAGAAAACUUCUCCCCUGGAAUUUCUCACCAACCUUCUCCGUUUUUUUCUCAGUUUCAUUUUUUUUCCCCACAAUUAAUUAUCUAUUUUCCCAAGGCUUUUUGGCUUUGCGUUGCUAGGUGCUAGCUCAGCUGCAAAAACUUUACCAUUCCUCAACGCACAUUCUUUUCUACAUCACUUUGGCAGCUUUCACACUCUCCUCACUCUCUCUCUCUCUCUCUCUCUCUCUCUCUCUCUCUAAACCUCCAUUGUUUGUCUCCCUCAGCUCACUUGAGUCUCAGCUUCAAAGGUAAGCAAGUUGUUCACUUUGCAUUUCAUAAAUUUUCUCCAACGGUCACUUUUCUUCUAGUUCUCUGUAAAAAGAUGUGUUUUUGGGUUGUUUUGUUUCUUGUUCUUUGUAACUUCAAUGGUUUUGUGGAUUCUCUGAAUGGUGAAGGCUAUGCACUUUUGUCAUUUAAGCAGUCUGUACAUGAAGACCCCGAAGGGUCUUUGAGUAACUGGAACUCUUCUGAUGAGAAUCCUUGUUCAUGGAAUGGAAUUACAUGCAAGGAACAAAGAGUUGUUUCUGUUAGCAUUCCCAAGAAGAAACUUCUUGGGUUUCUUCCUUCUGCCUUAGGCUCUUUGACUGAUCUUCGUCAUGUAAAUUUAAGGAAUAAUAUGUUUUUUGGUAGCUUGCCUGUUGAGCUUCUUGAAGCACAAGGGCUCCAAAGUUUGGUUCUUUAUGGGAAUUCCUUUUCUGGGUCUGUGCCGAAUGAGAUUGGCAAGCUUAAGUACCUUCAAAUUUUGGAUUUGUCUCAGAAUUUCUUUAAUGGGUCAUUACCUGUGUCAAUUGUGCAAUGCAAGAGACUGAAAGCUCUUGAUCUUAGUCAAAAUAAUUUCACUGGUCCUUUGCCAAAUGGGUUUGGUAGUGGUUUGGUUUCACUUGAAAAACUUAAUCUUUCAUUCAAUAAAUUCAAUGGUUCGAUUCCAAGUAACACGGGAAAUUUGUCUAGUUUGCAAGGAACUGUUGAUUUUUCCCAUAAUCUCUUUAGUGGUUCAAUUCCAGCUAGCUUAGGAAAUCUUCCUGAGAAGGUAUACAUUGAUUUAACUUAUAACAAUUUGAGUGGACCGAUACCCCAAAAUGGUGCUCUAAUGAAUAGAGGACCGACUGCAUUUAUUGGGAACCCCAGGCUCUGUGGGCCCCCAUUGAAGAACCCUUGUUCUUCAGAUGUUCCAGGUGCAAGUUCACCAGCUUCAUAUCCGUUUCUGCCUAAUAAUUACCCACCUGAGAAUGGAGAUGAUGGUGGAGGAAAGAGAGAAAAAGGAAGAGGGCUUAGUAAGAGUGCUAUAGUAGCUAUAAUUGUGAGUGAUGUAAUUGGAAUUUGCCUUGUCGGGCUAUUGUUCUCAUAUUGCUAUUCAAGGGUUUGUGGUUUUGGCGAGGGCAAGGAUGAAAAUUGUUAUGCAAAAGGAGGUAAGGGAAGAAAAGAGUGUUUGUGCUUCAGGAAAGAUGAAUCAGAGACUCUCUCAGAGAAUGUUGAACAGUAUGACCUUGUGCCGCUGGAUACACAGGUGGCUUUUGAUUUGGAUGAGCUGCUUAAGGCUUCAGCUUUUGUUCUUGGCAAGAGUGGAAUUGGGAUUGUAUACAAAGUUGUGCUUGAAGAUGGACAUACCUUAGCAGUGAGAAGGUUGGGUGAAGGCGGCUCUCAGAGGUUUAAGGAGUUCCAAACCGAAGUAGAAGCAAUUGGGAAGAUAAGGCAUUCAAACAUUGUAACUCUCAGAGCAUAUUACUGGUCUGUUGAUGAGAAACUGCUCAUAUAUGAUUAUAUACCUAAUGGAAGCCUAGCCACUGCACUCCAUGGUAUGUUUUACAAAACCCUCUUGUGAAUACUGUCAGCGAUAGAUAAUUUUGUUUCCUAGAUAGAGUUUUGGUUAUUUGAUUGCCUCAUUUUCUUUUUUCAUCUUUAUCUUAAUGUAAUCAGGGAAGCCAGGAAUGGUAUCAUUUACGCCAGUGCCAUGGUCAGUACGGGUGAAAAUCAUAAAAGGGAUUGCAAAAGGCUUGGUUUAUCUGCAUGAAUUCAGCCCCAAAAAGUAUGUCCAUGGAGAUCUGAAACCUAGCAAUAUUUUGCUUGGACAUAAUAUGGAACCACACGUAUCUGAUUUUGGACUUGCACGCCUUGCUAAUAUUGCUGGAGGGUCUCCAACACUGCAAUCUAAUAGAAUGCCUGCAGAGAAGCCUCAAGAAAGACAACAGAAGAGUGUGUCCUUGGAGGUUACUACGACCAACUCUUCAAGUAACUUGGGAUCUUAUUAUCAGGCCCCCGAAUCACUCAAGGUGGUGAAACCAUCACAGAAAUGGGAUAUUUACUCGUACGGAGUGAUUUUGCUUGAAAUGAUCACUGGAAGAACAGCAGUUGUCCAGGUGGGAUCCUCAGAAAUGGAUCUUGUUAACUGGAUGCAGCUCUGCAUUGAAGAGAAGAAGCCGCUUGCAGAUGUUUUAGAUCCAUAUUUAGCUCCAGAUGCUGAUAAGGAAGAAGAGAUUAUUGCUGUUCUAAAGAUUGCAAUGGCUUGUGUUCAUAGCAGCCCUGAAAAGAGACCUACGAUGAGGCAUAUCUCCGAUGCUUUGGACAGAUUGAUUGUAUCCAGUGAUUGAGAAAUCAGAGAAUCCUGUGUCUCAACAAUUGCUUGAAGUUUCCUGCUUACACUGACUAGGGGCGGGGUUUGAAGAUAAUCGGAAAGUACGCGCACCCUUAUUAUGUUGCAGCAGUGGAGACAAAUGUUGCUAGUUGUCUUCUAAAGAAAAGUGUUCAUCUUUUUAUUUUUAUUUUUUUGUGGGAUUCCCAUCUUUCUCAAUGCAUAAGGGAUAACUGAAUGUUGGUCUGCUGUAAGAGCAUGCUAAGAGAGUCUGUAACUUGUAACUGCCCUGAGCAUGAGUUGGCUCUUAGUAUAUUUGUAAAAGUAUGUAUUCUUCUUCUUGCUCGUAUUACAGACCUUUUGUCUUUUGUUUUUCUCGGGCAGCGAAGUUAUUGAAUGUUUGUUCGUUUGUUUCUUUCCUUUUGUCAUAAUAACCAUUCAGUAAACAAUGCAUGACAAGCAUUUUCUACUCACAACUCACAUGAUUUAAGAAAGAACUUCUUACACAUUAAUUUCAUCCUUUAUUCAAUUUUCUAAUGAAAUGGCCCUGCAACCACCUGAUGAUGAAGAUUAUUGGAAGUGUUUUUUGAGUUAAUUUUGGAAGUAUCCGUCCCUGUCUUAUGACUUACAGCAUUACAACGAUUUGCAUCCCAUAUUUCGCAUCCUGGCAGGAAGUGAAAAAAGUGAAUAGGAGAAGUGCAUUGCCAAGUAAGACAAUCUGCUUAUCUACAGUCAGUUUCCGAAUCUUUCAGCCACAUUCACGAAAUGCUAAUAGUCUAUGUCUGAUAUGACACAUCUAUGAUCUGUCUUUUAGAUGCUCUACUUUACAUUUUAACUUUGGUGCUGUUUUCACGCAACUUUUGUCCUAUCUAACCUAUCCUAAUUUCAAUUAAUAAAAUUAAUAGCCUUAGUACAAUUUUUAUCUUUGUUAAAUUUUGGUGAAAAUCACUUGUGUUAUGGUCAAAACAGAAAUGGUGCAUCUUCUAGCUAGCAAACCACGAUGCGGGAAUUUAGGUGAGUGGAGUCCACCAACCCGAGGAUGCAAUGCGUGGAAAAUUCUUAGCUGUCCAUUGGAUUUAAUAAUUGAUUCAUUUGUCUCGGUCUUGACUUUAACAUAUCUUUCUUGUCUGAAUGUAUUUGGUCAAUUCUCUGCCAGCUACCAUUUCUUAGUAUCAAUGAUCAUCUUAGUCUCAAUGUUUGAGUAAUCAAAGGGCUGAUACUGAUUUACUCCAAAAUGAGGGAGCCAGAGCGCGGGACUUUCAGUUUAUGGAGGCAAAUUCUAGGAAUGCAUAAGAAUGUUGGUCUUAUGAGUUAUGUUUGUAUCAUAUCAAUGCAAGUCAUUUUAUAUGUCACAAACCAUGUGCUUGUAAACAGGAUAACUGGGAUUGUGGGAUUGAUUUGUUGAACUUAUUUUAUCUUUAUAAUUAACUUACAGAAUACGGAGAAUGUUGAUUAUUGAUGGCCUGUGGUUGUAGUUUUAGAAAGUAGGCACUUAACCCAUAGUUUUGGUCGUCUAAGGUGCCAUUCUAUUUUCCAAAGAGGCAAUCAAAUACCGAGUUCCUAACUUCGAAAACUUGCCCAAAAUAGGCUUUUCUAUGGGAAAUUUUUAGUAGAAUUCACUAAUGAAUGUGUAUCUCAGUUCCUGAGGAGAACUUACUGCAACCUAAAAUUUCCCCCAUGCUCAGAGGUUAGAUAUUAAAACUCAGCUUGACAGUAAAGUUCAUCUGGUUAAUUCGAUUUAUCUGUACAGUUGCAAUGCAUGUUGUGCAUCUGCAACAUCGUUGAAUACUUAUCGUUCAUUCCACCACAACAACGAGGUGCAAUGGUUUCACAGAAAUCUCCGCACAAAUGUACAAGCGGUUUAGGUUGAAAUCUCUUCUUUGUUCAAAGUCUGGUGGCAUUGUGAGUUUCUGAAGCAUUAUGAAUCUUUGACAUUUUUGUUCUACAUUUUGUGAAUAUAUGACUGUAAGGUUUCCCUGGUAUAUAUCUUGAUUGUCUCAAUUGACGAGUUCAUUUCACGCAGUUUAUAGACAAUCAUACCAGGAAAUUCAUUGUUGUUAUUCGUUCUAAUAUACUUGGAAAGUCCUGUCAGCCAUAGAAUAAUAUGACCUAGUGUAUGAAAUUUAUAACACUUGAUUGCAAAUUGUAACAGUAUUUACUGGCCACCAUUCUGAUUCCAAAUAUUUUCUCAUUUUCUUUUUGUGACACAGAAGUUGCAAAUUUUGAUUCCUCACUCUUAAGUCAAGUCAGUUCUCAAAGAUGCUUCAAAACACAUUGAAAAGUAACAGUAACUUGAAAUCAAGCGGCUAGAAUUUGGUGAACCAUAACGAAGAGCCUCAAUUUCGUGCAAUCCUUAGCCGCUUCACUGAUUCUACAAACUCUCUGUCAGGAUUCAAAACACAGGUUGUUCAACAAUUGUAUUCAACCCAAAGUAGAACAGGUAUAAACGUGAAAAUUGAAGAAGUUAGUAGUUGUUGGCAGCAUUAAAGCACUUACGUCCACGGAACAUCACCAACAGUCCUCCAAUUCUCCUCCCCGUCCUUAUACAACAGGGAAAAUUCAGACCUAGCCUGGAACAACCUUAGUCCAGACGUGGAACUUCUCCCUACCAAAAAAAAAAAAAAAAAUCUUAAUCAUGUUAUUCAUUUCUAAGAAGAAAAAUGGGAAAAAAUCUCGAGGUCGUGAGACUCAAGAUAUAGUUGAUUCCUACCAAACAUGUCUUCCAAUUGGCAUGCUAGGCUUGAGUAACCACAAUGAUCAAGUAUGCAAAUUUUGCGACCAACCAUAACUCCAUCCAUGUUAACUUUCACAUAAGCCCACCUCUCUUUGCUCUGGAUUCCCUCUGCUUCCUCGUCAACAUCUUCUUCUACAAGCCCUUGGAAUCUUCUGUUUGAGUUCUUCAGCUGUAAAUUAGUCUCUGGCCAUUCUAUCAAAUCAUCACCAUACCCCUCCAGGCCUGCCACGGUAAAAUGCAAGCUUCAGUUAAAUCAUUAUAAGCAAUCAUUUUCCCAAAAGAACAAAAGAGAGAAUAAAUAAAUCCUUCUGUUUAACAUUAUAAAGAACCAAUGAAAGAUUUUAAGCCUUCUUUUUUUCUUACUCAUUCAGCUUCCCGAACAACCAAUGCAUGAAUAUGAUGCAACUUACAAAUUAUGCAUACUAUUUCCUAAUGUUAGAAUGAACAAGGCCCUUGAUUUUUUAACGGGCAUCAGUUUCCCAAUGCAUGGGACGAAAAGGCUAGAAAUGCAAACUAAAAUGUAAAGGCAUACUAUGUCCGGAUGGAUGAUAGGCCUCGGGUUGAAAAGUUCUCAGGCUGAGACCGAGAUCAAUAGCACCAUCAUCUUGUUUGGCUUGAUUGUAAACUGAGUGAAAAGUUGAAGGUUUGAGAAGGAAGCCUGAAGCAUUCGAAUCCAUCGGAAUACCGUGAAAAACAACUGAGUCAGUGUUGUCAGCCAAGGCAGAAUGAUAUGAUGCUAACUAUUACUGGAGGCAGCUAUUUAUAUUAUGACAAGCAAGUGAAAUAUAUAACUGAAUCUACAAAUCCGAAACGAAAGUGGGGACCAAAAGAGAGACAUGGAAGAUAAGUGGAGGGUUUCUCCCAUUAUCAAUCAUUUAAUGUUGCUUAUCUUCUUCUGGUAGUCUGCUACUAUCAACAUGGUGAUACACAAGCAAGUUAACUAAAAAACAGGAGAACAAGGGAUGGCCAAAGUGAUUUUAACAAAAGUUGGUUUGGAUCCUGCAACCCAACAUUACUACAUUUGUUUCUGCUUUUCAGGCAGACAUCCACUGGUGACCAAAAGUGGGCAACCUGCCAGUGCAUAAUGAAGAUUCAAAUUCAAUUGCUUAUACUAAACAAGCCACAAUACACAGAGCAAGUACAUUUGAAGUAUUACAGAUGUAGUCUAAUAAUAAUUCUACAACUCAAAAUUUUGCAUACUCAAAAAUCCUCCAAAGAGGAACUGCAUUACAUUGUGACAACAUUUCAUGACCAAGCAUAAAGCAAUUAUAUAUUUCAUCGUUUUUAUUUGAAAAAAGAAAAAAAAUGUUAUCAAAUGCUUAAUGCAGUAGUUUCUCUGUCACAUCUAUUCAGUUAGAUGGUCUCUCUCAAACAGCAAUGUAGUGCCACUCUCAAAGGAGACAUUUGUUCGUAAGGAAUCAGGCACCCCACACCGCCCUGCCGUAGAGAUUAGAGCAGUUUGCUUUAACCAGAGAUCCAAACGCACAUAACUGCACUGCUCUGCACUAAACAAGUUUUCUUUUCUCUUCCCUUUCCCUUCUUGUUUUCCCCCUAUCAAGAUAAUAGUAGUAGCGUCCAUUGUCCAUGCCCUAAAACCUAUCAUCUAAUUAUGAUAGGUUUUAAAAUCAGGAUCGAGUUUACAUUCAACCUGGUGAAUGGAAAAUCCUAUUAAAUUCAACAGGUCACUCUAAAAUUUCCAUGUUAUAAUGUUGCACAUCCACAAAAAUUUCCGUCACAUUUUUUAAGAGUUCUAUUACCUGUUUCAAGUGUUCGAUUACAUCUUCCAAACUUAACAUUACAUUCUUAAAAAUUAAAAAAAGAAAAAAGAAAUGUUCGCUUUAUUUUUAUUAAAAAAAAAAGGCAGAUAAAAAGAUACAUGACGACUCCAUAACUACACAAUCUGGUAUACAGCUUCAGGCCCAGCAAUAAUCAAAAUUUUCAUGCAGAGCUCCGUAACCAAUUUCACUUAAUUUACACAGUUUUAAGACGACUGGAGAAACCCUAUUUUUUACAGUUUUCUUUCAUUUUCGAUUUUAAAGUACAACCUGGUAAGCAAACGUUCUCUCCCUUUCUUUGGAGGUCCUUCACCAUAAUGCUUUGAGCAUCAUGGCAGAAAAAGCGGGUAUACAUUUACCACAUAAGUGGCAUCAAUUGCUAAAUAGAGUACACAUUGUCACGAUCCGGAACCAAAUUAAAAACUGGAUAAAGAUAUGCAUGCCAUUAGGACGAGUAUUGCUACCCGAAACAGAAAUGAAGGUCUGUGACCUAGAUCAUGAUACUGAGUCAUAACGACCAAGAAAUUGGACUAUACAUGGAUAAACUUGCUCCACCGCCUGCAAUUUCAGAGAAGGGAAAUUUAAUACGUGCAGCUAAGGAAAUAACUAUCAAGCUUGAGCGACGAUCUUUUCCUGCAAAAUUUUAUAGGAGUAAGAAAGAACUGCAUACCAUCCGUCCUCCAACCAAAUCAUAAUGAGCAUAAUGUGGACCGCUGGGUUCGCCAAAAACUUUAUAGGUAACCAAGUCCUCAGGAAGGAGCUUGACAGUUUCUGGUUCAAAUCAUGAGAAGCAGCAAGCAGAGAAAUUAGUAUCUCCUAAAAGAAAGACUAACGUGUGCAUGCAUAUUCUGUAUGGUAGUUAAAACAUACCCUCUACAGCUUCUGGUGGGCAAAUAAGAUCCUGAUCUCCAGCAAUCGCUAAGAUAGGGAUGUUGCAUUUAUGUAUAUGGUCCUUGUAGAAAAAUUUCCCACCCCUAUCACGCAGCCCACCCUCUCGAAAAGCUGUUGUAAGCUGCAAGAUAAGUUUGGCAGGAAUAGUACCUACCGAUAAUAUUUAAAUUUAUGAGGUCAAACUCAGGAGGCACCAAAAUAAGAGGGAAGUAAAGCAUUAGAUUCUGUACACUAAUUAAUAAAAUAACUGUAGUUAACAAAAAGCCUUUAAAAGUCAAAGUUCUUUGUUGGACACAGAGUUUGCAUCCUGUGAGUUCUUGGAAUUUUCAAAUUUGUUCAAAAGGCUCUCAUGAAUUUGUGAGCCUCUAUAAAAGUGGUAACUUUAACUCCGCAUCUGCUAGUAUUUACAUCAAACCUUAGGAGUGGUCCAUAAAUAUUUUCCAAAAUAUAAAAUAGUACUUUAGAUACUCAAAGGAAACAUUCAGCUGUAGAAAGAAAUGCUAGACCUCAGUGAAAUCUGCUGGCCUAAAAUAAUAAUCUCAAACCAUUCUAGUGAGUUAAGUAUUGUGGGUGAGUUAAGUGUUGUGGCCCAUUAAUGAAUACCAACUACUGAUGUUUAACACAUAUGUGACAGUAUCUACCCUGAUGUGCAUGCUAUCCAUAUUUGUGCACAAAGAUAAAUCUUGCAUGUCAUGUCGAGAAAGCACAAUCAUACUUACAGAAGUUGUUCAAGACAAGCUUUUUCAACAACUCUGGAUGCAUCAUGUCUUCUGCUGAUAUCAAAUUAUUAAGCCAAGAAAAGACAUACGGGGGACUAGAUGAAAGAGGAUAAGCAGCUGUCAAUAACGCCCCUAAAGGUACAACAGGUACAUUGAGCGCCUGAGCUGGAUCAGCCUGUAUACAAGUAACUUCGACAUUGUUAUCUCAAUGAGGGCUAAUCUCCUAAAACUCUACAUGUAAGUUUUUCAGACACCAACAAACGCUUUCUUUAUGCAUAAAACAAUAUAUUUUUUUCAACCACUUACGAGGGGUAAGAGCAAUUUAAGUGUCGAUUUUGAAGAAGUGUAGUCAAGAGAUGAUGCCAAGGUAACAAUAGCCGCCAAUCUAGAUUCCCUUCCUUCAAAACCUUAUGAGAUGAAACUGUUUAAUAAGUAUAUAAUUGGUGAAUACAAAAUUGAAGAAAACAAAACUAUCAGCAUAAAGUUUCCAAAUGCUGUGUUACUCCAUCAUCUAUAGUGCCCAAAUGACAAAUAACAGGGAAACUGCACCAUAAACAUGUGCAGAGUGUGAGUAUUGAAGUUUCAAGGGAGUCACCAUUCUUAAAGCUGUGAUAAAGUAUCAGUCUUAAAGUUCAGCUUGACACUGAAGCAUUCCCAGCGGUAAUGAAACAGCUUAUUUUCUAAUAAGAAAUAAAAAUCCAUUUACAAUGCUAAAUAGAUAAUUAAAGACAAUCUAAGAGCCAAGUCAUUAGAAAAAAAAAAAAAAAGGAUGGCAAAGAGAGCUGCAAGCUGGAAAAAGGGGGAAAGGGAGGGGGGUGGGGGUUUGUUUUGUGCGGAAGGCUGCCUAGGGCAAAGCGAUUAGAGUUAUACAUAAGAAAUAUUAAUAACAUUUAGAAUGUCAGGACACAUAAAUCAUAUGAUGUAACCAAUAAAAAAUAUUGCUUUUCUCAAUCAGAUAUAUCUUUUUCCCCCCUAGAAAAAAAGACUUAUUCUUUAUGCAUUAUUAUGACUAGGUAAUAGUAAUAUCAUUAGAAAUGGCAAGUGAUGGUAUCUUACCACAUCUUGACAACAUUGCAUAAAGCAAGAUACCGCCCAUGGAGUGUCCAAUUGCUAGCAGCUUACCAUCCUUUGGCUUGCUUUGUGCCCUUAUAUAUUCCAUCUACAUCAAUAAGAUAUGAGAAUGUUAAUUCAAAAUGCAAAGAGUACAUAUAUUAGACCUACAUAUUAUAUAGCCCAAAACUGGUAUAUUUAGUUCUGAUUAAAACUGGCAAAAGUAGAGUAAGACAGAACCAAACAACCAUAUUAUAAUUCCAGCAUGAUAAAAUGUCACCUCACCGCAGCAGGAACAUCUUCUUCUAGGUAAUGAUCAAAAUCCCAGUCAUAUCGCACAAUCAGAUCAAGUUGCUUCUGAAAAUCAUCUAUUGUUGAAAACAGACGUUCUUGCAAGUCAAACAACUGAGGUGAAACAGACAGUUGACCUUCUUCAAUCAUAUUUACAAGGUUUUGACUCAGAUCUCUGAUUUGAAUAGCAAUAGCGGAGCUUUGCCUUCUUUCCAACAAGCUUGAAAGCUUCCCCCUUAUCUCGUUAAAGCCUUCAGACAACUGAGAAUCUUCCAAAAGUUUGGAUAUUUGAUCAAAUAAUUUAGCAGACAUUAUCUUAGAUUGAUUUUCACUGAGAAAGCCAGAGAGUCUUUCUGACAAACUCAUAAAUGUUUCUGUCAACUUUGUCACCAACUUUGAUUCAUCCCAUACUGUCGCUAACCGUGUCAAGUCAUCUUCUUUUUUGACAGGAGAAAUCUUGGAAUCUGACAAGGCACCAGGGAAAUCAGUCAAUUGCGGAUCUGCAGAAUAAACUCCAUUGGUUGCACUCUUAGCAAAAGCUUCACUGGUUGUACUGUUAGCGACAGCUUCCAUCUGUUCAGAUACUCCAUGGGCAGACUGCUGCGCUUCUUUCAAAUUUGAUCCCCGCACACUCAACCCAGCACCUCGAACCUCAAGGAUCCACGUGUCAAAUCCCUGGCCAGCCAUGUACCGUGCAAACGAAGACUGCAAAUGUAUCACUAGCAUUACUAUCAGGUUUAAGUCUAAGCAGAUAUACACAACAUUAAUUAGACAAAAAGCAUCGAGUAGAAAAUGACAACAUCAAAUCACUAUGAACCCACUUCAUAUAAAAACAAUACCCAAAAAGCAAAGGAACAAAAGGCACAACAAACAAAAUCCUUGAUUGUGUGAGAUUCUAAAAAAUUCGAUACCUUUUCUCAUUCUGCAUAAAUUAUAAACUAAUUUCAUCAUUUUUUUUCCCCCUGAACAGUACAAGUUUGAAUCCUAAAUUUUGAUAUGUUGAGCUGCCAUAAUAAUUGGGUUCUUACCAAACCAAACACUUGAGUAGUUAUAUGUACUUUGAAACAAAACGGUUACAAUUUACAAACACUACCAUACUAUCACUGUAAUACUAGUUUUUUUUUUUGGGAAAUGCACAGUAAUACUAGUUAGUAGUGUAAUAGUCGUGGUUUAUAACUAUAACAUUAAAUUCUCCAGAGCAGAAUAUAGGUAAGACAAGUUGAUGUUCACAUGUUAUAAAUUACAACUCACUCCAGGAGAAAGAUCGUAACCAAUAGCAUUAGUCCCCACUCCAGACAAAAGCAACAGCGGAUGAUUCCUUGUUGGCGCCUAUAAAUAAUUCCAAUAAAAUGGAAACAUAAGUUUCAUCAAAACAAAAAUUAUAACUUUAAACAAAAUUUAAGAAAAAAAAUGAAUAAAUAGAAAUGUUACGAUGUGAAACGGACCUGCGGCGGAGGAUUGUAGCGCCAAAGAGCGAGUCGCCAGUCGCAGUUAGCGACGGAGACGUAAUGGAGCUCGUCGGCCGAACAUAUCGGCGGUUUAUCCGAAACUUUCUCGACGAACGGUUCAUUCGCGUUGGUGGAAAAAGCUAAAAGUCGAAACGGUGUCGUGGAGCGAGAGAAAUGCGGACAACGCAAGGCGCCGGCCCACUGGGGAAUGAGUAGGUGGCGGUGGUUAAAAGAGCGGAAGAGCGUGCAAGUCGCAAGACGAAUAUCGGAUGGCAAUUGGUGGUAAAGUGUUGCAGUCGUUGUUGCCAUUUGCGUUUUUGUCUUAUGAUUGUGUUUGUGUUUUUUUUUUUUUGUUUUUUCCCAAAGAUUUGAUGGAGGUGCCUUUGAUUCGGUGCUUUGCUUCAAUUGCUUUGCGUCGGUUGGUAGUACGCCACAGGUGUCGUCAAAAUUCGGCGGCUCUCUAUUUUCUCUAUAGCCUUUGGUCAACCAAAAAUUGUAUCGGUAAAAUCGAUUCAACUUUUGUAUUAGUGCACAGGCACACUCCUGUCAAAUUAAUAUAAGUUAUAUUAUUAUGUAAUUUAAACAUUUCUACAAAAAAAAAUUAUAAUUUUAGAAAAGUAUAUGAUAAUUUUUUCUGAUAGGAUGAGAUAUUGUGGGAUUCCAUUUCAUUUGAGAUGAGAUUGUAAUAUAUUUUUGUCUCAUAAAAAAAAUUUAAGGACGGGAAUGAGAUUUUUUUUAUCUCACUUGCAUAUACAGGACGAGAGUAAGAUUGACAAAUUUUGUCUCAUUUCGUCUCAUUGUCGACUAAGAAUGAAAUAUUUUUUUCAAUCAUAAUGAGAUUCCGUAGGAUCCCAUUUCUUUUGAGAUGGAAUCGUGACAUAAUUUUUAUCCCAAAAAAAUAUAUAAGAACGGAAGUGAGAUAUUUUUUCAUCUCAUUUAUAUAUACGGGACGGGACUGAGAUUGGUAAAUCUCAUCUCAUCCCGUCUCAUUGCCAACCCUAGUAUAGAAUAACAUCUUAUCAUCUAUACAAUAAAUUGGUAGCCAUUAGAAUAAGUGAAAGUUCAAUUAUUUAAAAUUGAUCAUCACUUUACUCUUAAUUAGCAAAAAUUGUAAUUCUUUCUUUUAUUUUAUUAAAACUUAAGUCAAUGUGUCAAAAUUUCGUCAGUUUUAUAAAGGUUGUUUAUUUUUAUUUUUAAAAUUUGUAUUUUUCAAUUUUCACGCUUGCUGGGCUACUGCGAUCCAAAUAUUUUGGGCCGAAUAGCCCAAUCCAAUGUCCUAAACUGCCUUCGUAAAUUGAAGUUGUUAUUAUUCCCCCACACCUUCGUCUUCCUUCCUCUCGCUGAAGCUCAACUACGCAGAAAACAGAGUUUCAGCAGCUGGGGCCGCCUUCUGAUACAAGCAAACGAAAAGCACAGAGCCGUCACUAAAACACUCUCUCUGCAAGUUUAAAAGUCAUGUCAUCGAAUGACACUGCUAAUGAAGUAGAUGUAAACAGAGUGUUCAUAGGAGCAGGCUGCAACCGAAUUGUCAAUAACGUAUCAUGGGGCGCCUCUGGUUUGGUCUCUUUCGGUGCCCAAAACGCCGUCUCCAUAUUCUGUCCCAAGGUCCGCACUACCCCACUUUAAUUUUUUCAUUUCUUUGCCUUAAACUCGUCUAUCUUUUUUUUUUUUAAACUCAUCUAUCUUAUUAUUAUUAUUAUUAUUAUUAUUAUUAUUAUUAUUAUUGUUACUUAAUAUCAAGAUAUUUGUUUUACUUUUACAGACUGCUCAGAUUUUGACUACACUUCCGGGUCAUAAGGCUUCUGUCAACUGCACCCACUGGCUUCCCAGUACUAAGUUUGCAUUCAAAGGUAUAAUUUUUUUUUCCUUUAUUUCCGUUAAAAAUCGUUGCUUUUAUGUACGAAAUCUUUUCUUUAGAAGUUUAGGUUAAUGAGUGUGUUUACAGCUAAACAUUUGGAGCGCCAUUAUCUGCUUUCUGGAGAUACUGAUGGUGUAAUUAUUCUGUGGGAAUUAUCACUGGUUGACAAAAAGGUAUUCUAAUGUGCCAUUGUAUUCUGUCUUUAGAAUAUCUUAAACUGAAAGCUAUGUGACCGUUCUUCUUUUCUGUUUCAUUUUCUGCUACAUCAAAGUGUUAGUCAAUUGUCAAAGUCUUUCACUUGAAGAGAUGCAAACCAUUAUUAAUUUAUUUUGCUAUCUUAACAGUUUGUCUGAGUAAUAUUCUUUGUAAGUAUUGUUGUAUGUUUUUAUUUUUCUCCUUUACAGUGGAGGCAUGUGUUACAAUUGCCACAAUCACAUAAGAAGGGUGUUACUUGCAUUACUGGAAUUAUGGUUUCACAAAGUGAGGCAGUUUUCGCAUCUACUUCUUCUGAUGGUGCAGUUCAUAUUUGGGAAGUGGUCUUCCCAUCUAUUCCAGGAGGUAAAUCAUUAUGUUUUCUUCCUUUUCCAUUUGCACUAAAUGUAAUUAUUUCAGUUUCAGUUGGGUAAUGCAAGUUUUUUCGAUCACUAUUCUACAACAUUGAUUGAUGGUUGGAUUGUUGGAAACAUUUUUCCGUUUUUACUAUGUUUUUUCUGCACUUUUCACUUUUGGUUAAGCAUUUACCCUAAAAGUCUUGGUUGCUGUGUGUCAACUAAGGUGCAGAGUUUGUAUGUAACUUUAAAUUGUUACAAUGCUUGAACUCAAGAUCAAUUAGUAGUUUAUGCUGUUAUUUGAUAUCAAUCAUCAUCUGUGUUUUGCUGGGAUACUUGGUUUUGUUCAAAUAUUCAUGCUGGGCAUGUUUGCUAACUGAAACACUAAAAAUACUGCCUCUGUUUCCUUUAGGUGACUGUAAGUUGUCAUGUCUGGAAUCACUAUGUGUUGGUUCGAAGGCUAUGGUGGCGCUUUCUUUGGCAGAGUUGCCAGGAAACACCAAUCAUUUGGUCCUGGCCAUGGGGGGGUUGGAUAACAAGAUUCAUCUUUACCGUGGGCAGAGAACGGGAAAGGUAUUUAACUUCAAAUUAAGAAAUUACCAUGUAAUUUCCUGCAUGCAUUUUUCCUACGGCAUUCAGAUAUUAUGUGGUUAUUUUGUUUAUGCUUCCAGUUUGUUCGUGCUUGUGAAUUAAAAGGGCAUACAGAUUGGAUCCGAAGUUUGGACUUCUCAUUACCUGUAUGCACAAGUGGUGAAGCAAUCAGCAUCCUACUUGUGAGUUCAUCUCAGGACAAGGUAAUACGAAUUUGGAAGUUGGCUCUACGAGGUUCUUCAGCCAACACCCAGAGUACAUACAGGAAAGAGGUAAUAAGCCUGGCUUCGUACAUUGAAGGUCCUGUCCUUGUAGCCGGAUCAUCAUCUUACCAAGUAUCUGUGGAAUCUCUUCUAAUUGGCCAUGAGGAUUGGGUGUACUCAGUGCAGUGGGAACCUCCUUCAACUGCACCUUCUGAUGGGGUUUCCUGCCAACAACCGUCAAGUAUUUUAUCUGCUUCUAUGGACAAGACAAUGAUGAUCUGGCAACCUGAAAAGACAACUGGUAUCUGGAUGAAUGUAGUCACUGUUGGAGAAUUAAGUCAUUCUGCUCUAGGGUUUUAUGGUGGCCAUUGGAGCCCAGAUGGACGUUCUAUUUUGGCGCAUGGAUAUGGUGGAGCAUUCCAUCUGUGGAGAAAUGUUGGUGUUGACAUAGAUAAUUGGCAACCACAGAAAGUUCCUUCUGGGCACUUUGCUGCUGUGAUGGAUAUUUCAUGGUCAAGGUCUAGUGAUUACUUGCUGUCAGUUAGUCAUGACCAGGUGAGUGAUUACUUUAUGAGGGCUCUCUUUUGAGAAAUUACCAACAUAUCUUUACAAAUCUAGUCAAUUGGGUUGAUUUCUUUCGUGUUUAGCAUUUCAAAUUCCAGAGGUUGAUCUUUUUUAUUUAGUUUCUUUUUGGAUGAAUCCAAUUAAUCUUGAGUCCUGAUAGUGAUUAUAGACUCAUUAAUCUACAAUUGCAGACAACUCGUGUUUUUGCUCCAUGGAAAAAUGUAGCUUCUCUCAUGGGUGAAAACUCCUGGCAUGAAGUUGCACGCCCUCAAGUUCAUGGUCAUGAUAUUAAUUGUGUGACCAUAAUUCAAGGAAAGGGAAACCAUCGUUUUGUUAGUGGAGCUGAUGAGAAAGUUGCCAGAGUCUUUGAAGCUCCUUUGUCUUUUCUGAAGACGUUAAAUCAUGGCACUUCUCAGGAGUCUAGUUUUCCUGAAGAUCUCCAAGUAGAUGUUCAGAUUUUAGGAGCUAAUAUGUCUGCUCUCGGGCUAUCGCAGAAGCCUAUUUAUGUAAAUGGCAAGUUUCUCUUUCUCUCUGAUAAAUUUGGCUUGUCACGAUUUUUUGGAGCUUUUUUGGGAUUUUUCAACUGGACUUCAUAUUAAUUGAUGCAAAUCUGAUCCAGUCUUUUAGGACUUCGCAUUUUUCUCAUUUUACCCAGCUCAUAGUUCAUGCCUUUCAGAUUAUUCUGUGGAUUAGCAAAUUGUUUUGUUCCAUUUGGUGCAUAACCUAAUGGGGAGAGACCGCGAAGUGUCACUUGCAGUAUGAGUCCUUUCUUAAUAUCAUCUCCUACUUUGAAGAAAGGUUAAUAUUACCCGUUUGAGAGGAGUCAGAAGGUUGCCAGAAGGUUAUUUGAUCCUUUUAUUGGACCAUCAUGCAGAGGGUUACAGUUCUCAGCUCUGCCUUGAGAUCUGGGGUGAUUUAGUGCUAUAGGAGAAAGUAUGAUGCAGGCAAAAGUAUACCUUUUGUGCUUUAGCGUCGGGAAAGGCUUAUUUGAAGAGCUAUAAAGGGUUCAUGUACCAACCAAAGCUUGAUUUAUUGGGAACGGUUUUGUUGGGGGGGNNNNNNNNNNNNNNNNNNNNNNNNNNNNNNNNNNNNNNNNNNNNNNNNNNNNNNNNNNNNNNNNNNNNNNNNNNNNNNNNNNNNNNNNNNNNNNNNNNNNNNNNNNNNNNNNNNNNGGGGGGGGGGGGGGUGUUCUUAGGCAGAUUUGGCAGUUGAGACCAUUUUGUAGCCAAACAUGAUACUCUUUUUAAGAUAGAAGUUUUACUGUCUCACUAACAGCAUCAUGAAUGCAUAUAUUAAGACCAUAAUCUUUGCCUAUGGCAAACCAGAAAACUGGAAAUGUCAACUUGUUUCAGAAACAUGCUUUUCAGUACUUAAAAGAACACAUAAUAUGUUAUCACUUUUGCUUCGUUUCUGUAGGCAAUAGAUUUUUGUUUUUCAUUGACUAUCAGCCAGUAUUGAUGACUUCUAAUGUAAAUAUCUAAUGAGCCAGUGGCUUAUGCAGCUACACGUGAGACGGUGGAAAGACAUGGGAAUGAUGGUCUUGACACCCUUGAAAGUGUCCCAGAUGCAGUUCCAGCUGUGUUCACUGAGCCUCCCAUUGAAGAUCAGUUGGCAUGGCAUACGCUGUGGCCAGAGUCACAUAAACUUUAUGGUCAUGGGAAUGAGCUGUUCUCAUUAUGUUGUGACCACCAGGGGAAGCUUGUUGCUUCAUCGUGUAAGGUAUAUGACGUCUUUCUUGUAGCUGUUAAUUUGUGCUCUAAUUAAAGCAUGCAUAAGCACGCAAGACUAUUACGUUUGCAGGAAGUUUUGCAAUUUAAGAGUGCAUUAAGGUGGUGCUAAUUUCUAUUUUCUUACCCGACUCCCCUUCAAAUCACUCAAAGUCAGCUAUGAAUAGACAGCAGUUUCUAGUUUUGUUUUCACUCUAAUGCAUCAUAUUGGCUGUGGUGGAAUUGUAUAUGCAAUGUGUAUAUUGCUACUCUUAUUUGUUACAUAUCGUGUAGGCUCAAUCAACUGCAGCGGCAGAAAUAUGGCUAUGGGAAGUGGGUUCAUGGAAAGCAAUGGGUCGCUUGCAGUCUCACAGCUUAACAGUAACACAGAUCAGGUUUUCUCAUGAUGAUAAUCUUCUUUUGUCUGUCUCAAGAGACCGGCAAUUCUCUGUCUUUGCAAUUCGAAGGACAGGUACUGUAAAUUCUUUCUAUUCUUUAGAGAUUCUCUUAUAAUUUUGCAUCUUCUUCAGUUUGCUUGUAGCCCACCAGUGAAUUUUAAUGUCUCAUACUCAAAUUUUCAUUUAAUGAAGCUUUCUUUGAAAAGAUAUCUUGUAACUUUAACAUAACGAGAUAACAAUUCUGGGAAACUCAUGUCAUAAUCUCUGUUGUGCGCAAGAUAAUGAGUAAUGGAUUCUCAUGUCGAUUAAACACAAAUAUAAAUGCUAGUAUAAACUCAUCUUGCUAUAAUUUAAUAGAAAUACUGAGUUGAUUUCAACAUGAAAUUAGUCAAACUAGCUAAUACCAUGUUGAGAAAUAAUUAAUUCCUAACGCUUUAGAUGAUAGUAUAACUAAGAGCCCAACAAUAGAUUUUAACUCUUAACAAAUUCAUUUGGUUAUUUCCUUUCAAAGAUAAAAGGCAGAGAACAAAAAAAAAUAUUACAAUUUUAGGUGCCAGAACCUCAUUCUGUUCUUUUUGGAAUUAUCCCUACUACUGGGAUCUCUAGUUGUCAUGGUAGCUGUAAUUAUUUUCAUGUGACUUCUCUAUCUAUCAUGAACUCUACUUCCUAAGAAACUCAUUGGAGAUCAAUAUGCAACUCCAUGGCGAUAUGAAAUUUAAUGUGGAGGUCAACUAGUCAAAAGGGAGAAUUUUUUGGAUUCAUGAUGGGAAAUAUUUACCACCAUUCCCGAUCACUCUGCGUGAAUGAACAUCGCUUUUCAUAAAGUGUUCUGUGAUGGAAAUGUAUGAAAGACUAAUUAUUCAAUGUUUCUUGUUUUCCGUUAGGUACUGGUGAAAUAGACUAUCAGCUUAUAGCAAGGCAGGAGGCUCACAAAAGAAUAAUUUGGUCAUGCUCUUGGAACCCAUUUGGUCAUGAAUUCGCAACUGGUUCAAGAGACAAAACAGUUAAGAUUUGGGCUGUGGAAAACAAAUCUUCAGUUAAGCAGAUUCUGGCUUUGCCACCAUUCAACAGCAGUGUCACUGCCCUAUCAUGGGUCGGUCUUGAUCGUCAGAAGAAUCAUGGGUUUCUUGCAGUGGGAAUGGAAAGUGGAGUUAUUGAACUGUGUAGUAUUUCCGUUAAUAGAACUGAUGAUGGUAGCACAACAGCACCCAGUACUGCUAAUCUCGUCAUUAGAUUUGAUCCUUUCACGUGCCAUGUUGCUGCAGUGAACCGCUUGGCCUGGAAAACCUAUGAGAAGCCCAAAAAUUCCAGGAUGAUGCAACUUGCUUCCUGCGGAGCCGACAAUACUGUAAGAGUUUUUCAGGUUAAUGUUUGAUUAGUUGAAUAAUUAUUUUGUAUCCACAGACAAAAUUUUGACAUCUGUGCGUAUGGGCUAAUUCUCUCAUUUGUUGAAGAAAUGAAAUUCUUUGUAGUAGACGCUUGAGACACGCCUCUUUUAUUGAACUUGGAAAAAAGAUAGAUCUAUCUUUCAUGGUCCCCUGGUUGAACUUGGAAAAUUUAGAUAGAACUAUCUUUCAUGGUCCCCUGGUUCGAUGGCUGCGUACAUGAUUUCCACAAGUUGUAACUAAGGAUUCACACAUAUUGCAGAUUUAAUCUGCUACGUGUUGUGACUUGUCAAUUUUGACAUUUCAUAUAAAUUUUUGAGAGAAUAUAGCUACUUGCCGAUACAGACAAGCAGAAAAUUCUGGUGUUUGAAAUACGUUAGUAUCUACUACCUUGAAUCUAAGAAUUUUCCAUGUGUGUCAUCAUAUUAUAUUAUCGUGCUUUUCUCAUUAUGGGCGUGGCCAUGGAGCAUGCAUUCGGUCCUACAUAUGGCAUUCCUAUUAUUGGGUCAAGAACAUUGAAUAAGCACCUUUUUAUAGAUAUUAUAAUGUCAGCUGCGGCAAGCAUUAUUCCAUAUUGACCGUUGUGUGAACUGAAAAGCCAUUUGCCCUUGGCAAAGUUUCCUGUUAAGUUUCAUCCAUCUUCACGUCAUGUAAUUGUCCCACUUUCGAAAGGUUCUAUGAUGAAACGAUACACGCAUGAAUCAUUUCCCUACUCUAACAAGUUUCUUUUAGAGUUUUUACAAAUUUCUUAUUGUUGUUUGACCCCCUUUAUAAUUUAAUCUCACUGAAUUUUUUACUCAUCUUAACCAUUACAAUCCGGACAACAGAAAAUUCAAAUUCUGAUUCUGAUCUAGACAAUGCCAUACAUUUAAUUAAGCAAUUUAGCGUUUUAACUUAAUCGACGAGAUAAUUACAAAAUGUUGCAUAUGCAGAACAAGAACGUUAGGGACACGGCCUAACAUUGAAUAGUUGAAAACCACAACUUAUUGAGUUAUGACCUUGUCCUCGCUGGGAUAGGACCCAAGACAGAGAAGAGUGGAUGCACGUAGAUGCUUCGCAGAAUUAGCUAAAAAUCACGUGUGAUUUGGCCUCAUCAUCCAAAUAAAAACAACCUGAAGGCCGAAACUCUCACAUCUCGAAAAACAAACACGCAUUAACCUCGUACAUUUACUACAUAAUUUAACAUAAGUUAGCACUAACAAAAACAAAAGAAAACUUCAAACAAGAAUCAAAAAGUAGUUGUCUCCUGUUGUGUCAGACUGUACACACAUGAAAAUCAGGGGGGCGUAUAUAUUAUCACAUAAUGAUAUGGGUAAAUCUAUGAGCCCCAGCGUCAAAACAAUGGGACGGUUUUAUUAUGUUAUGUGGCCAGAGAGAACCAAAGUUUGUCGCCUAGUCAAUUUUUAGAAGAAAAUAAAUUCAAUCGUUAAAAAGUUACAAACUAUUCAAUUUGAAUUUCUCAAUCCUUCUGAGCGGUUCAAAUUCCGAUCCAUUAUGAAUAUUCAUAGAAUCAAUAAAAGAUGGAAUUCGUGAAGAGGGUCGCUUAAAAAAAUGGGACCACGGAACUCUCUCUUAUUAUGUACUUUCUUAUGAGUAGUGUUUGGACUGAUUACCGGCGAUUGAUUGACGGAAGGGAAAAUCAAAAAAAUAUCUGAUAAGGUUAUUGUCGAUGUUACUAUUGUAUUAUUUCCUUCCUUUUUAGAUCCAACUUUUUAGCUUGCCAGCAGACGCCCAUGCCCCCUAUCUCAUGUUCCUGCUCUUCCAAACACUUGUUGAGUUUCGGUAAAGGCUGAUAUCCCAUUCAAAAUAAAAUCAAAUAAUUGGUUGUCAUUUUCAUGACCUUGGGUUGGAGAAGGUCCCCAAUCUAGGACAUGCAUUGCAUUUGGUCCUCCCACGUGACUCUGAUCAUUCUUGAAUCACACUUCGGCCGGUGGGUGAGUCUUCAUGUUCCAAUGAUUUUGUUUCCGUUAAAGAAAUGAGAGCUGAAUUGGGGGCAUGUAACAAUCCAUGUGAUCCUGUGCUAAGCUCUAAAGCAGAUGAUGACCAUAAUCCUAGCGAAAGAAAUAACGACUUUGGCAGAAAACUUGGAAAUCGAUAAGAAUUGGUUGCACUAGAAUGAAAGAUCAUUCUCAUCUUCAGGAAUUUCUAGGCGCUAUAUUACAGUUCUGAGAGAUGAAAUUUACCUAUUCAGAUAAAGAAAAUCUUUGUAUAUGAUAAUGUCCAAUCAUUCAUUGCGAUGAAAAGAUUGAAUCCGCACCAAGAAGUUACAUUUGGCAUCAAUGAUGCACCGGUGGGGAAACUGAAUCAAGUGCAGAAGGAAACAGCAACAGAGUUAGGGGGGCUGCAGCAAUUCUAAACUGGAAAUGAAGUUCUUCACAGGUUAAAUGAAGUUCUUCACAAUCCUUAACUCGAAGACGAUGUAAAACAAUUAACCAAACACACCUAGCAGAUUAAGAAAAGCAUCAUUCAGAAACUCUGAUAUAUGAACUGCAUAAGUACACAAUAUUCGAGUUUCAGCUUUUACAGUAUAAUUCUCAGACCACUAUCGUUUCCUAUGACAAAUAUGAAAUACAAGAAAAGAGUAAACACAUCCACAGUUCCUUAUUAUAUCUAAUCACAGAUACAUAUCACAAACCAAUACCAAUAACAAGAAAAACAUUAAACCAAAAAACUUCUUUAAAAGGAAAAAAAAAAAAGGUAUAUAUGAACCAAACCCUUCCUUCAAAAUUGUUUCUUCUUUCUUGACAGAUAUUAUAGUGCCUGAGAAGUUCUGAUCUGUUGCUUGAUAUUCUCAUUGGAAAGCUGAGCAGAAGCUUCAGUCAUGGUUUGAUACUGAGAAGGCAUUGUUGGUGCCAGAGGCUGAGUGUAAUAUAUCUGGGAAUGAGCAGGAUCCGCAUAUUCAUAACCGUAAUUAGCAGUUGCCAUUGCCGCAGAGGUAGGCGCAACAGACUGAGAUGGAUGGUGAAUCUGAGAGUAAUUAACAUACUGCUGCUGACUAGAUGGCACUUGAACCAUCUGUGGAGUGCCUGUAGUAGUAGUUCUAUACACACCUGCUGCUGCUGCCAUUUCAGGUUUAGUAAUAUGUGUGUUUCUCAUCGGGUUAUAAGCUGCUGCUGGAGGGGGAACCAUGGAAGGAUUUGGUGGUGUCUGGGGACGGCUAGAGGUGAUGGCUGUGGGCGAUUCACUGACAGAAUGAGAUUGUUGUUGCACGGACAAAUUGUAAGCUUGCGGCUGUCUUCCCGCGGGCACAUAGUAAACUGGGUACUGCUGAUCAAGCUGAUGGACUUGGUGUUGAUGUUGAUGAUGGUGGACUUGAGGUUGCUGUUGUGAUGGAUACACAGGAUAAUAAGCUGAAAUUGGCAUUGCUCCUGCAGGGUGAUGAUGAAUAUAAUGUCCACCAGCAUGAACAAAUUGUUGCUGCUGUGGUAGUUGUUGCUGCUGUAGUUGUUGCGGCUGCUGCUGUAGUUGUUGCUGCUGUUGUGGUUGCUGCGGUUGUUGUUGAUCAAGUUGGGAUUGAAAUACAUACCCUGAACCAGGAUCCUGAAUCUGUUGUAC